RNAcentral lists this ribosomal RNA (472 nucleotides) under uncultured bacterium. RNAcentral's name for it is "partial 16S ribosomal RNA". It matches the Rfam family "Bacterial small subunit ribosomal RNA", at positions 28 to 506 of the family's 1533-position model. The record is from RNAcentral.
GAUGAACGCUAGCGGCAGGCCUAAUACAUGCAAGUCGAACGGGUGGUCGCAAGACCCCUAGUGGCGCACGGGUGCGUAACGCGUAACCAACCUGCCCCGAUCUGGGGGAUAGCCCGCCGAAAGGCGGAUUAAUACCGCAUAUACCCGCAGCCUGGCAUCAGGCAACGGGGAAAGAUUUAUUGGAUCGGGAUGGGGUUGCGUGACAUUAGCUAGUUGGCGGGGUAAGGGCCCACCAAGGCGACGAUGUCUAGGGGACCUGAGAGGGUGAUCCCCCACACUGGCACUGAGAUACGGGCCAGACUCCUACGGGAGGCAGCAGUAGGGAAUAUUGGGCAAUGGGCGAGAGCCUGACCCAGCCAUGCCGCGUGCCGGAUGAAGGCCUUCUGGGUUGUAAACGGCUUUUCUCAGGGAAGAAAAAGACCUUGCGAGGUACACUGACGGUAUCUGAGGAAUAAGCACCGGCUAACUCCGU